GAUCCUGGCUCAGGAUGAACGCUAGCGGCAGGCCCAACACAUGCAAGUCGAGGGGCAGCGGGAAUGAAGCUUGCUUCAUUUGCCGGCGACCGGCGCACGGGUGCGUAACGCGUAUGUAACCUACCCUGAACUGGGGAAUAACACUGAGAAAUCGGUACUAAUACCCCAUAAUACACUGGAAGGCAUCUUUUGGUGUUGAAAGCUCCGGCGGCUCAAGAUGGACAUGCGUUGUAUUAGCUUAGG
RNAcentral lists this ribosomal RNA (243 nucleotides) under uncultured bacterium. Its description in RNAcentral is "partial 16S ribosomal RNA". It matches the Rfam family "Bacterial small subunit ribosomal RNA", at positions 15 to 250 of the family's 1533-position model. The record is from RNAcentral.